This is a long non-coding RNA of Trifolium pratense (red clover), 565 nucleotides long. RefSeq lists it as uncharacterized. NCBI's taxonomy places the organism in Eukaryota, Viridiplantae, Streptophyta, Magnoliopsida, Fabales, Fabaceae. The transcript is spliced from 4 exons. The record is from RefSeq and is a predicted model, not a curated record.
AUCUUCUCACACUCUCUCUCUUCUUACUUUAUCUUAAAACCAGUCACACUCUAGAGCGGCUCUGCAAAAGACGAAUAUGACUAGAGCUUCCAGUGCAUCUGCUAAGAGUACUCAGAAAUCUCAUGGAAUGAAAAAGAAAAAGUUACAGGGGAAAAAGGGAGGAAGACCAACAUUCAAAAAAAGUGGUGCCGAUAUAUGGGCUUUUAACUGGUUCGUGAGACCCAAGAUAUGGAGAAAUGGAAGGGAGGAUUAUUUCUAUAUUCAUAAAUAUGAAGAUGGACUUAUCUGUCGAUCUCUUAAAGAGGUCGAAAGGUUUGAAAAAGAUGGGACUCGUCCAGGUCGAAAAGCCAAACGAAAUAGCCAAAAAAAAUAAAGGUUUACCAUCAAAAUAAAAGUUAUUUCAACUUGUAAUCUUAAACUUUAUGUCAAAAAAUCUUAAACUUAUGUCCGUACUAAAACAAUAUUUAUCAGGUUGGAAUCAAACUGUAUUUGGAUUUAGAUAUUUUCUGCCUUGUUAUCUCUCGUGAAUGACAAUUUAUUGUGUUUUGAAUAAUUCAACAUAUCU